UGGGGAAUAUUGCACAAUGGGCGGAAGCCUGAUGCAGCAACGCCGCGUGAGUGAUGAAGGCCUUCGGGUUGUAAAGCACUUUUGUCCGGAAAGAAAUCCUUGGCUCUAAUACAGUCGGGGAUGACGGUACCGGAAGAAUAAGCACCGGCUAACUACGUGCCAGCAGCCGCGGUAAUACGUAGGGUGCAAGCGUUAAUCGGAAUUACUGGGCGUAAAGCGUGCGCAGGCGGUUUGCUAAGACCGAUGUGAAAUCCCCGGGCUCAACCUGGGAACUGCAUUGGUGACUGGCAGGCUAGAGUAUGGCAGAGGGGGGUAGAAUUCCACGUGUAGCAGUGAAAUGCGUAGAGAUGUGGAGGAAUACCGAUGGCGAAGGCAGCCCCCUGGGCCAAUACUGACGCUCAUGCACGAAAGCGUGGGGAGCAAACAGGAUUAGAUACCCUGGUAGUCCACGCCCUAAACGAUGUCAACUAGUUGUUGGGGAUUCAUUUCCUUAGUAACGUAGCUAACGCGUGAAGUUGACCGCCUGGGGAGUACGGUCGCAAGAUUAAAACUUAAAUGAAUUGACGGGGUCAUAGCUGUUUCCUG
This 585-nucleotide ribosomal RNA is filed under the name uncultured bacterium. Its description in RNAcentral is "partial 16S ribosomal RNA". It matches the Rfam family "Bacterial small subunit ribosomal RNA", at positions 355 to 1376 of the family's 1533-position model. The record is from RNAcentral.